This 107-nucleotide unclassified non-coding RNA is filed under the name uncultured Tremellales. RNAcentral describes it as "sequence contains ITS1". The record is from RNAcentral. Lineage: Eukaryota; Fungi; Basidiomycota; Tremellomycetes; Tremellales.
GUGAACGCCCUUUUGGGCUUAUAACUAUCCAAACCUCUGUGAACUGUGCCCUUCGGGGCUUUUUAAUACAAACACUGUGUAAUGAACGUUAUCAUUUUAACAAAACA